AUGCAACCAGCAGGUCUCUGGACACCUUACAUAAGAGUGGCCCCGUGUCUGGCAAGCCAGGGUGGUCCCCUGCGGCCUGGUCGCUGCAAGCCGCCCUCUCCUCCCUGCUCAGGGUUUUCAUCGGUCCCCAAGCAGCCCGGCAAGUUGCCAUCAACAGGUGGGCUGCUGCUCCCUUCUCUUCACCCCACAUCCUUUAGGAACAGGUGCAUGUUUUCCUCAGGAGGCAGGGCUGCCCAUGGGGGGGCAUAGCCAUCGCCCUGCCCCCCAGCAAAUGCUUCCUUUCAAGGGGCAUCCUGGGCGUUGGCCACGGUUUGCUGGGCAUCCCCGUGUGACACGGAGCCACUGGGGAGCUCAGGCCCCCGCCCCGGGCAAGCAGGGGGGGAAAUCCAGGUGGGCCUCCCUGCUCCUGUACCUUUAGUGAAUUGGAGGGAAAGAUCAUUCCUUAUUUUGAUUCCAGUGUGACAGCCCAUAAUUCGGGUUUAUAAUGGUUUUUCUCGGCACACCAUGACUUUUAUGAAGCUGGCCUCGUAUGCAACAGCAUCAGUCACUGUUCCCUAAGCUUGCCCGGACCUCAAAAUUACCUGGGACAACUAAAAAGAAAACCAAACCUGACUCCUAAGCCCCUCACAGAUGUAGGUGGGGCCUACGCAGAUCUCAUAUUGGGGAAAUUGAGGGAAGCGACCCUGGGGGCCGGCCCUUUGGUGAUUCCUAUCUUUGGAGGUUCAGGACACCCAGGUACGGGGAGUACUUGGUUCGA
This 757-nucleotide long non-coding RNA is filed under the name Canis lupus familiaris (dog). Its description in RNAcentral is "lncRNA (ENSCAFG00805008587.1, ENSCAFG00845021299.1)". The record is from RNAcentral. Lineage: Eukaryota; Metazoa; Chordata; Mammalia; Carnivora; Canidae.